CAUUGUCGAAUCUCGCACAAGAGGAAUGACCCGUGAAUUGUCUAUUUGCACCCUUUGGAACGAGUGCCCGUGGGGCGACCUCCGGCGUCUCGGUCAAAAUACAGAAAACCCGGCGCGGUUUGCGCCAAGGAAUUCAUAAUGGAAAGCAGGCAUCCGAACGAUGAUACCGUUUUGAUGCCGUUGGUUUUCCAAGAAAUCUCGAAAGACUCUCGGCAACGGAUAUCUCGGCUCUCGCAUCGAUGAAGAACGUAGCGAAAUGCGAUACUUGGUGUGAAUUGCAGAAUCCCGCGAACCAUCGAGUUUUUGAACGCAAGUUGCGCCCGAGGCCACCCGGUCGAGGGCACGUCUGCCUGGGCGUCACGCAAACGCCACUCCCAUCCCUCGCAAGAGUUUGGAGGAGAGUGAACGUUGGCCCCCCGCGACCCAGUUCGCGGCCGGCUAAAAUGGCCUCACGUCCCGUUGCUUGACGACACGAUCAAUGGUGGUUGAUGACACACUCUUGCCACGAUUGGACGACGCGAUCGGAAGCACGGGGUGAGCGAACCCUCGAGCAGAGUGAGAUAACUCCCACACGCGACCUCAGGUCAGGCGGGGACACCCGCUGAGUUUAAGCAUAUC
Molecule: ribosomal RNA, 618 nt
Filed under: Aspidocarya uvifera
Lineage: Eukaryota; Viridiplantae; Streptophyta; Magnoliopsida; Ranunculales; Menispermaceae
Description: eukaryotic LSU rRNA
Rfam family: 5.8S ribosomal RNA (bases 205-360)
Source: RNAcentral